Non-coding RNA from Podarcis lilfordi (Lilford's wall lizard), 71 nucleotides. The record is from the annotation of a GenBank genome assembly. NCBI's taxonomy places the organism in Eukaryota, Metazoa, Chordata, Lepidosauria, Squamata, Lacertidae.
GGACUGGCUCAGUUGAUAGAGCACUGGACUCUUAAUCUCAGGAUUGUGGGUUCGAGCCCCACAUUGCGCCA